This is a long non-coding RNA of Thamnophis elegans (Western terrestrial garter snake), 418 nucleotides long. RefSeq lists it as uncharacterized. The transcript is spliced from 3 exons. Lineage: Eukaryota; Metazoa; Chordata; Lepidosauria; Squamata; Natricidae. The record is from RefSeq and is a predicted model, not a curated record.
CACACACCAGAGGUGGUUCCUCUCCAGCUUUCUGCAGGUUGCGCCUUGUUGAGUAUUAAACUGUCAGUGGAAUUAAGGGAAGAGAUCUCCAUGAAAAAUUGAUUACAGUUAUAAAGGCUGAUAUAUUGAAGUGCAUCACGAACAUUGUUGUCUUACUGCAGAGCGUGGAAGAAUAAAAAGGCGGAAAUGGCGUAUGUUAGAAAAAAGUUAAUUGAGAUUAUGGAAAAAGGCAUGAAAGAAGGAGAGCAGAUGACACCAGAUGAGAUGCUGUUUACUCAUGAAGGAAUUCUAUACCCAACUAUCAUUUGCAACCCAGAACAUUUCAAAGCUUUGGAGGCCUUCCAAGCCAGGAGUGACGAUAUAGUUCUAGCAGGAUAUUGCAAAUCUGAAUUCCAAAGAAAAACCCUGUUUGGAAGGG